RNAcentral lists this transfer RNA (540 nucleotides) under uncultured cyanobacterium. RNAcentral's name for it is "partial miscellaneous RNA". The stretch from base 211 to 283 matches the Rfam family "tRNA". Lineage: Bacteria; Bacillati; Cyanobacteriota. The record is from RNAcentral.
CAGGGAGACAACAAAAUGUUUAAUAUUAUUAUUUUGUCACCUUAGGUCGAUCGGUAUCUCACGUUCUUAAUUGAUUAAGAAUUUCAUUUCCUAAGUUUUUCUAGGUCACACCCAUUAUUUUCCUGGGCCAUUAGCUCAGGUGGUUAGAGCGCACCCCUGAUAAGGGUGAGGUCCCUGGUUCAAGUCCAGGAUGGCCCAUAUCUCUAUGUUGGGGGUAUAGCUCAGUUGGUAGAGCGCCUGCUUUGCAAGCAGGAUGUCAGCGGUUCGAGUCCGCUUACCUCCACUGAUUACCACCUCUUCCAUAAUCUGUAGAAUGGAAAAUAUUUGAGUUGUGACCAUAUUUCUGAACGAAUCUAGCUUCCUAAUGAAACCAUUAAGAUGCUGGACUCAUUGAAUUAAUUUCAUUGUUUUCAGAGAACCUUGACAACUGCAUAGAUUAUUUUUAAAGACAAUAAGCAUCUUUAAUGAUGCAGAUUUAUUAUUUGUGCAAAUGCAUUAAUAACAAUUCUAUUAAGCUGAUGCUUCAAUUUUGAAGUUAUU